GGGGAAUAUUGCACAAUGGGGGGAAACCCUGAUGCAGCGACGCCGCGUGAGUGAAGAAGUAUUUUCGGUAUGUAAAGCUCUAUCAGCAGGGAAGAAAAUGACGGUACCUGACCAAGAAGCCCCGGCUAACUAC
RNAcentral lists this ribosomal RNA (133 nucleotides) under uncultured bacterium. Its description in RNAcentral is "partial 16S ribosomal RNA". It matches the Rfam family "Bacterial small subunit ribosomal RNA", at positions 356 to 504 of the family's 1533-position model. The record is from RNAcentral.